AUUGAACGCUGGCGGCAUGCCUUACACAUGCAAGUCGAACGGUAACGGGCCUUCGGGUGCCGACGAGUGGCGAACGGGUGAGUAAUACAUCGGAACGUGCCCGAUCGUGGGGGAUAACGAGGCGAAAGCUUUGCUAAUACCGCAUACGAUCUACGGAUGAAAGCAGGGGACCGCAAGGCCUUGCGCGGACGGAGCGGCCGAUGGCAGAUUAGGUAGUUGGUAGGAUAAAAGCUUACCAAGCCGACGAUCUGUAGCUGGUCUGAGAGGAUGAUCAGCCACACUGGGACUGAGACACGGCCCAGACUCCUACGGGAGGCAGCAGUGGGGAAUUUUGGACAAUGGGCGCAAGCCUGAUCCAGCAAUGACGCGUGCAGGAUGAAGGCCUUCGGGUUGUAAACUGCUUUUGUACGGAACGAAAAGCCUUCUUUUAAUACAGGAGGGUCAUGACGGUACCGUAAGAAUAAGCACCGGCUAACUACGU
RNAcentral lists this ribosomal RNA (481 nucleotides) under uncultured bacterium. RNAcentral's name for it is "partial 16S ribosomal RNA". It matches the Rfam family "Bacterial small subunit ribosomal RNA", at positions 30 to 506 of the family's 1533-position model. The record is from RNAcentral.